GGCCCAAUGGUCUAGUAGUAUGAUACCCGCUUCGGGAGCAAUCCACAACACAAGGUGUUGAAAAUGCGGGUGGUCCCGGGUUCAAUUCCCGGUUGGGCCC
This is a transfer RNA of Rhizopogon vinicolor AM-OR11-026, 100 nucleotides long. It matches the Rfam family "tRNA". Rfam says of the family: Transfer RNA (tRNA) molecules are approximately 80 nucleotides in length. Their secondary structure includes four short double-helical elements and three loops (D, anti-codon, and T loops). Further hydrogen bonds mediate the characteristic L-shaped molecular structure. tRNAs have two regions of fundamental functional importance: the anti-codon, which is responsible for specific mRNA codon recognition, and the 3' end, to which the tRNAs corresponding amino acid is attached (by aminoacyl-tRNA synthetases). tRNAs cope with the degeneracy of the genetic code in two manners: having more than one tRNA (with a specific anti-codon) for a particular amino acid; and 'wobble' base-pairing, i.e. permitting non-standard base-pairing at the 3rd anti-codon position. Lineage: Eukaryota; Fungi; Basidiomycota; Agaricomycetes; Boletales; Rhizopogonaceae. The record is from Rfam.